Molecule: ribosomal RNA, 252 nt
Filed under: uncultured bacterium
Lineage: Bacteria
Description: partial 16S ribosomal RNA
Rfam family: Bacterial small subunit ribosomal RNA
Source: RNAcentral
UACGGAGGAUGCGAGCGUUAUCCGGAUUUAUUGGGUUUAAAGGGUGCGUAGGCGGGCUUUUAAGUCAGCGGUAAAAAUUCGGGGCUCAACCCCGUCCGGCCGUUGAAACUGGGGGCCUUGAGUGGGCGAGAAGAAGGCGGAAUGCGUGGUGUAGCGGUGAAAUGCAUAGAUAUCACGCAGAACCCCGAUUGCGAAGGCAGCCUUCCGGCGCCCUACUGACGCUGAGGCACGAAAGUGCGGGGAGCAAACAGG